AAACUAGGAUUAGAUACCCUAUUUAUUAAAAAAUUAAAUAUAUAAAACUAAAAUAGUAAAUAAUUUAUUGAAACUUAAAUAAAUUGGCGGUAUUUUAGUUCAUUCAGAGGAAUCUGUUUAUUAAUUGAUAAUCCACGAAUAAAUUUACUUAAUUUAUUAUUUUGUAUAUCGUUGUUAAAAAAAUAUUUUUUAAUGAAAAUAAUAUUUUAAAAUUUUAAAAAGAGAUAAAAUCAGAUCAAGAUGCAGAUUAUAAUUAAGAAUAUAAUGGAUUACAAUAAAUUUAUUUAUAUGGUUAUUAAAUUGAAAUAUUUAAUUGAAAGUGGAUUUGAAUGUAAUUUUAUUUAAAUUAAUAAAAUGAUUAAUAAUUCAAAUAUGUACAUAUUGUCCGUCGCUUUAUUAUAAAUUUAAUAAGUCGUAACAUAGUA
This 425-nucleotide ribosomal RNA is filed under the name Antheraea pernyi x Antherea roylei. Its description in RNAcentral is "partial 12S ribosomal RNA". The record is from RNAcentral. Lineage: Eukaryota; Metazoa; Arthropoda; Insecta; Lepidoptera; Saturniidae.